Non-coding RNA from Zea mays, 137 nucleotides. The record is from Rfam. NCBI's taxonomy places the organism in Eukaryota, Viridiplantae, Streptophyta, Magnoliopsida, Poales, Poaceae.
ACUCUCCGAUGAUGAACUUAUCGAGUUUAUCCUUACUGGUCUUGAUUUUGAAUACAAUGUUGUUGUUUCUGUUGUUCUGACCAGGCCAGAGAUGACCUCGUUGGGUGAACUCUACUCCCAACUCCUUGCUUUCGAGA